GGAGAGGUGGCCGAGUGGUCGAAGGCGCGCGACUCGAAAUCGCGUUCCCGAGUAAAAUCGGGACGGGGGUUCAAAUCCCUCCCUCUCCG
This 89-nucleotide transfer RNA is filed under the name Caldifarciminota bacterium. RNAcentral's name for it is "candidate division WOR-3 bacterium (hot springs metagenome) tRNA-Ser". It matches the Rfam family "tRNA". Rfam says of the family: Transfer RNA (tRNA) molecules are approximately 80 nucleotides in length. Their secondary structure includes four short double-helical elements and three loops (D, anti-codon, and T loops). Lineage: Bacteria; Pseudomonadati; Caldifarciminota. The record is from RNAcentral.